CCUACGGGUGGCAGCAGUGGGGGAUAUUGCACAAUGGGGGAAACGCUGAUGCAGCGACGCCGCGUGGGCGAAGAAGUAUUUCGGUAUGUAAAGCCCUAUCAGCAGGGAAGAAGAAAUGACGGUACCUGACUAAGAAGCCCCGGCUAACUACGUGCCAGCAGCCGCGGUAAUACGUAGGGGGCAAGCGGUAUCCGGAUUUACUGGGUGUAAAGGGGGCGCAGACGGCAGCGCAAGCCAGGAGUGAAAGCCCGGGGCCCAACCCCGGGACUGCCCUUGGAACUGCGCGGCUGGAGUGCAGGAGGGGCAGGCGGAAUUCCUGGUGUAGCGGUGAAAUGCGUAGAUAUCAGGAGGAACACCGGUGGCGAAGGCGGCCUGCUGGACUGCGACUGACGUUGAGGCCCGAAAGCGUGGGGAGCAAACAGGAUUAGAUACCCCAGUAGUC
This 442-nucleotide ribosomal RNA is filed under the name uncultured bacterium. Its description in RNAcentral is "partial 16S ribosomal RNA". It matches the Rfam family "Bacterial small subunit ribosomal RNA", at positions 338 to 795 of the family's 1533-position model. The record is from RNAcentral.